GAGUUUGAUUCUGGCUCAGGAUGAACGCUGGCGGCAUGCCUAACACAUGCAAGUUGAACGAGAAGUUCUGGAGGGAGUCUUCGGACGAACGAAGGGAUGGAAAGUAGCGAACGGGUGAGUAACGCGUGGGCAACCAACCUUACACAGGGGGAUAACACAGAGAAAUCUGUGCUAAUACCGCAUAAGCGCACAGUAUCACAUGAUACGGUGUGAAAAACUCCGGUGGUGUAAGACGGGCCCGCGUCUGAUUAGCUAGUUGGUGGGGUAAAAGCCUACCAAGGCGACGAUCAGUAGCCGACCUGAGAGGGUGAUCGGCCACAUUGGGACUGAGACACGGCCCAAACUCCUACGGGAGGCAGCAGUGGGGGAUAUUGCACAAUGGAGGAAACUCUGAUGCAGCAAUGCCACGUGAAGGAAGACGGUUUUCGGAUUGUAAACUUCUAUCAGCAGGGAAGAAAAUGACGUACCUGACUAAGAGCCCC
Molecule: ribosomal RNA, 482 nt
Filed under: Lachnospiraceae bacterium canine oral taxon 161
Lineage: Bacteria; Bacillati; Bacillota; Clostridia; Lachnospirales; Lachnospiraceae
Description: bacterial SSU rRNA
Rfam family: Bacterial small subunit ribosomal RNA
Source: RNAcentral